Molecule: unclassified non-coding RNA, 265 nt
Filed under: Hevea brasiliensis (rubber tree)
Lineage: Eukaryota; Viridiplantae; Streptophyta; Magnoliopsida; Malpighiales; Euphorbiaceae
Source: RNAcentral
UAAAUCACCUUCUCCUCCUGAGAUUUAAUUUCAGAAGAUUUUCACCCAGAUUCAAGCCAUGCAGCCUAGUGACGUUACAGGACUCCAUUAUCUAUUUCCCUCAAACCCAUCCCCAUAUUCAGCUUAUUUAAGCAUGACUCAGAAUAACACACCCACAUUUCAAUUUAACAGAUUCACCAAUCCACAAAAUUUCCAGAUUCCUCCUCAGGUUCAGGAAUUCAGUCUACAAUCAUCUUGCCUGAGCAACAACUCAACUUCUGAUGAA